UUUAGCCACAUCAUCUUGCCCUCGAUGCCCUAUGAUCCUGUCAGAGCUCAUAAGCUAAGCAGGAUGGAGCCCAGUCUGCUGGAGAUAGCUCAAU
Molecule: ribosomal RNA, 94 nt
Filed under: Gopherus agassizii (Agassiz's desert tortoise)
Lineage: Eukaryota; Metazoa; Chordata; Testudines; Testudinidae
Source: RNAcentral